AUUCCAGCUCCAAUAGCGUAUAUUAACGUUGUUGCAGUUAAAAGGCUCGUAGUCAAACUUGUGGCUUUCGAGAGACUCGCACAUUACCUAGUGUGAUGACGCUGAGACUUUCAAGUCAUCUUUGCGGAGAAGUAAUUCUGCCCUUCACUGGGUUGGUUUUGCAAUCUGCAUCAAUUACUGUGAGUAAAACAAAGUGUUCAAAGCAGGCUAAUGCUUGUAUGAUUUAGCAUGGGAUAAUGAUAUAGGACUUGCGUUCUAUUUCGUUGGUUUUUAGACACAAGUAAUGAUUAAUAGGGAUGGUUGGGGGUGCUAGUAUUCAAUGGUCAGCGGUGAAAUGCACAGACCCAUUGAAGACUAACUUAUGCGAAAGCAUUCACCAAAAAUAUCUUCAUUA
This 394-nucleotide ribosomal RNA is filed under the name Vampyrellida sp. RNAcentral's name for it is "partial small subunit ribosomal RNA". It matches the Rfam family "Eukaryotic small subunit ribosomal RNA", at positions 582 to 975 of the family's 1831-position model. Lineage: Eukaryota; Endomyxa; Vampyrellida. The record is from RNAcentral.